Long non-coding RNA from Sinocyclocheilus grahami, 266 nucleotides. RefSeq lists it as uncharacterized. The record is from RefSeq and is a predicted model, not a curated record. NCBI's taxonomy places the organism in Eukaryota, Metazoa, Chordata, Actinopteri, Cypriniformes, Cyprinidae. The transcript is spliced from 3 exons.
AAGGAAGCAGCGAGUCAACUCAUAAAGGAUGACACUAAUACUCAUGCUGUAAUCCUCAGGUGUUGGGUGCUUAAUUAGUGAGAUUCAUGCCAGCAUUUUCAGCUGCCCUGUGAAUAAUGGGUGCUCCCAUUGAUUGACUACCUAUCGCUAUCGGCCGAUAAUGGCUUUGGGAAGUCUGAUCGGCGGUCUCUAUAUAAAGGCUGAUCUCAUAAAUUGAUCUGAAGCUGACGACGUGCCUGCAGUGAGAGGUUUGGCAUGACAUCCAG